UACAGGGAGAGAGGGGGGAAAGGUGAGAGAGCGAUCGGAGAAGAGUCGAUGGGCGACACGAUGAGUUCUUCGUCCUCCUCGAACGCGUUUUCCUUCGUCCUCUACAACUACCCGCUGAUCUCCGCGAUCGUCGCCCAAUCCACCAAGUUCUUUACAACCCGACCUCUGGAAGUUCAUGCCAAAGAAAUCAUAUAUGAACUCAGCUGUUCAUUCAUCAGUCAAACUUGUCCUCUCGUGGAUGUGUAAGCUGUGCUCAAGCGAACCUUCUGCGACAGAGAUGGCUGAUAUCGUUGAGCAAAGCAUUUUAUCAUGACUCAGAUCCCAGAUUAUGUAAGAGAAGUUAUUCCAUAGAACACAACACAGACAAACAACAAGAAGGAUGAACAACUGAUCUGAUAGCAGAAGACACAAGGAUUCACUGAACUCAUCCUCUGCUCAGAUUUUAGAUGGUGUAUUGGGGUGACGAGCAACUAUCUGGUUAUAAGCAUUCAGCGUGAGGAAGUCGUCCAGCUCCGGUGACGUGCACUGCCUGGUGAAGA
Long non-coding RNA from Musa acuminata subsp. malaccensis (wild Malaysian banana), 539 nucleotides. RefSeq lists it as uncharacterized. The record is from RefSeq and is a predicted model, not a curated record. NCBI's taxonomy places the organism in Eukaryota, Viridiplantae, Streptophyta, Magnoliopsida, Zingiberales, Musaceae.